UCAACCGAGAUUCCCCCAGUAGCGGCGAGCGAACGGGGAGCAGCCCAGAGCCUGAAUCAGUGUGUGUGUUAGUGGAAGCGUCUGGAAAGGCGCGUGAUACAGGGUGACAGCCCCGUACACAAAAAUGCACAUGCUGUGAGCUCGAUGAGUAGGGCGGGACACGUGGUAUCCUGUCUGAAUAUGGGGGGACCAUCCUCCAAGGCUAAAUACUCCUGACUGACCGAUAGUGAACCAGUACCGUGAGGGAAAGGCGAAAAGAACCCCGGCGAGGGGAGUGAAAAAGAACCUGAAACCGUGUACGUACAAGCAGUGGGAGCACGCUUAGGCGUGUGACUGCGUACCUUUUGUAUAAUGGGUCAGCGACUUAUAUUCUGUAGCAAGGUUAACCGAAUAGGGGAGCCGAAGGGAAACCGAGUCUUAACUGGGCGUUAAGUUGCAGGGUAUAGACCCGAAACCCGGUGAUCUAGCCAUGGGCAGGUUGAAGGUUGGGUAACACUAACUGGAGGACCGAACCGACUAAUGUUGAAAAAUUAGCGGAUGACUUGUGGCUGGGGGUGAAAGGCCAAUCAAACCGGGAGAUAGCUGGUUCUCCCCGAAAGCUAUUUAGGUAGCGCCUCGUGAAUUCAUCUCCGGGGGUAGAGCACUGUUUCGGCAAGGGGGUCAUCCCGACUUACCAACCCGAUGCAAACUGCGAAUACCGGAGAAUGUUAUCACGGGAGACACACGGCGGGUGCUAACGUCCGUCGUGAAGAGGGAAACAACCCAGACCGCCAGCUAAGGUCCCAAAGUCAUGGUUAAGUGGGAAACGAUGUGGGAAGGCCCAGACAGCCAGGAUGUUGGCUUAGAAGCAGCCAUCAUUUAAAGAAAGCGUAAUAGCUCACUGGUCGAGUCGGCCUGCGCGGAAGAUGUAACGGGGCUAAACCAUGCACCGAAGCUGCGGCAGCGACGCUUAUGCGUUGUUGGGUAGGGGAGCGUUCUGUAAGCCUGUGAAGGUGUACUGUGAGGUAUGCUGGAGGUAUCAGAAGUGCGAAUGCUGACAUAAGUAACGAUAAAGCGGGUGAAAAGCCCGCUCGCCGGAAGACCAAGGGUUCCUGUCCAACGUUAAUCGGGGCAGGGUGAGUCGACCCCUAAGGCGAGGCCGAAAGGCGUAGUCGAUGGGAAACAGGUUAAUAUUCCUGUACUUGGUGUUACUGCGAAGGGGGGACGGAGAAGGCUAUGUUGGCCGGGCGACGGUUGUCCCGGUUUAAGCGUGUAGGCUGGUUUUCCAGGCAAAUCCGGAAAAUCAAGGCUGAGGCGUGAUGACGAGGCACUACGGUGCUGAAGCAACAAAUGCCCUGCUUCCAGGAAAAGCCUCUAAGCAUCAGGUAACAUCAAAUCGUACCCCAAACCGACACAGGUGGUCAGGUAGAGAAUACCAAGGCGCUUGAGAGAACUCGGGUGAAGGAACUAGGCAAAAUGGUGCCGUAACUUCGGGAGAAGGCACGCUGAUAUGUAGGUGAAGUCCCUCGCGGAUGGAGCUGAAAUCAGUCGAAGAUACCAGCUGGCUGCAACUGUUUAUUAAAAACACAGCACUGUGCAAACACGAAAGUGGACGUAUACGGUGUGACGCCUGCCCGGUGC
RNAcentral lists this ribosomal RNA (1620 nucleotides) under Escherichia coli. RNAcentral's name for it is "partial 23S ribosomal RNA". It matches the Rfam family "Bacterial large subunit ribosomal RNA", at positions 225 to 1869 of the family's 2925-position model. Lineage: Bacteria; Pseudomonadati; Pseudomonadota; Gammaproteobacteria; Enterobacterales; Enterobacteriaceae. The record is from RNAcentral.